UUGGCGGAGCCAGAGAAAGAGUUGUCCAGGGCGCAGCGGGAGCAGAGCAUCCAGGCAGCACCAACCGGGGAGCGGACGCAGAGACACAGCAGCCUGGUCACUGCCAGGGCCCUGUGUGGAGUAGCUGCGGGAGCUGCGGUCCGGCGGGUCAGCCCCGGACGGCCGCGGAUGGCGUGACUGCAGCAGGAUGCGCUCCAAGGGCGCGGCCCUCGAGACGCUGGCGCUGCUGUGCGGGUCGCUGAGCCUAGUGCUGGGCGCGCUGCUGGGUAGAGGUUCGGCUCUUCGCACAAAACAAGGAUAACCACAGAGGCGAGCUGUGGAGGCAGCCAUGCCAACAAGGCAGCUGAAGACCUGAGCGAGGGUUUGCACACCCACUGCGGAGUGGCAGGAAGGGGGGGCCGCACAUCCGCCGCGCAAGGCGAGCUAUCACAGACGCGGCUCCCAACACCCCUGGAUGAGCGGGGCAGAAGUGUGUUCUGUUGAGCUUGGACUCCAGGAGGCAUUCUCUGAUCUGACUUUAGCUUCUGGCUUUACAGAAAUUGACUUACACUUGAGUUCUAAAAAAAAAAAAAUUGUAAGAGGAACAGUAAUCACAGUGUAUGACUGAUGAGUGUGUUCAGAUCUAAUUUACACACCAGGUAGGAAACAGCUGUCGUGUGAUAAAUCACCAGCUGGACACAGUGGUGAGAGCUACUUUCACGGCCUCUCCUCCCAGGGAUGGGUAAGGAUGCACUGGAGAAUACUGGCCACUGGGUCAUGAAGCAUGGCUGCAGUGUCCUCCACGUCUGGUUCACUGGCACUCUCAGCUUCCAUAGACUGAGUCUCCAUCAUUGAUGCAAGCUGGAAACUGAGUUCUGCAUGGACACCUUAUUGCCAGUGCCGCCCUGUGUCAUUCAGCAAAUGUCAGCUUGAACAACAGGCAGGCUCUAAGCCUUUGUGGCUGGACCCAAAAGAAAAAGUGGACUGGAUUCAUUUCUCAUGAUUGUGCAGAGAAGGACGAGGCUUCUGAGGUAGCAGAACCACCAGGGGUUGGGAUGCACAGGUUUUUGACCCCAUGUCUCGGCAGGAGGCUCAUAUCCUGGGUUUCUCAAGUCCCAGAUGGAGAAGAGUCUUGCCCUGGGAAAACCGUGUCCACCUCUCAUUCAAAGGUGGCUUAGUGCUGUGACAGCAGCCACAGGAGGGGAUGACAGGUCAGCACAGUGCUCACUGGGUGGCAGAGAGUGGAAUCAGCUGUAUUCUCAAGGUGUUGGAUCCUGGAGGGCCGGAGUUAGCAAAGUCUCAUAAGGUUCAGCAUCCUCGCAAAACUCCAGAACCUCAGGUAGGAAUCUCAAUUUGGGUAUCUCUUUAAAAAGUGUGCCAAACUGAGACCAAUUACAACCUGGCAAGAAAAAAAAAAAAAGAAAAGCACUUCCAUCUAAGCAGGAGCUGCGAGUGUUGUGAAGUAGCUGCCAGGCAUGUUUAUAACUGCUGCCAUUAGCCCUGCAUGCUGCCUGGGUUCUCUGGGGUCUCUUCUUUAAUACUGUGUCCUCUACCCCCACAGACAAGGUAGUACCACCAGAAGAGAGGAAAGGGCCUGUUGGAGUCCGUUAGAUGUCCCCACAUCAUGCCCUCUUAUGCAUGGAGUUUUGAAGGUGGCUGAUGGACUAACAUGUGUGAAUGUGGGAUUAAUACAUGAUGCUGGGUGUCAUGGUUUAUGUUGGUGGCCCCCCAGGCCUCAUGCAUUUGCAUUCUGCAUUGGUGAUUGGUUCAUUGUUUACCACUUGGUUUGACAGUGUGAGUGCUCACUGGCCUUGGGGUGGAGCCAGGUUGUAAUUUAGUGGCAGGAAGAAGUUGUAUCUCUCUUCUUUCACUGGUUUCUGUUUUGCUGUUUACAGCCUCCCAUGAACUGAGGUGCCACCAUACUAGUCUGCCUUGGAUCCAACUGAGUAUGGACUGAAACCUCCAAAAACUGUAAGAAAUAGACCUUUCCUUCCCAACUUCAGUCAUCAGGUAUUUUGUCUCAGUGAUGAGUAAAAAGUAACAAAGACAGAAUUUGGUACCAAGGAGUGGGGUCAUUGCUAUGACUAUACCUGACCAUGUUUUUUGAGAGACUUUGGAAAUGGCUUUUGGACAGAGUUUGGAAACAUUUGGACAUGUUGCAUGGAUGCAUAGAGCUGGAGCAGCUUAGCUUGUUCAUUAGAGGAGAUUCUGGUCAGAGCUCAGGAGACCAGAAGGCUGAUAGAAAGCCUCAUGGUAAAGACCAGGUUUCUGCUGGGAAGAAGGACUGCAUUGGUUUUUGGACUCCCAACGAUGUGUGUUAUGCUUGGCAGAAAGUUUGUCUGCAUUUUGCUCAUACCCAGAUACUUUGCCUGAGACUUAGACAAAGGGCAAUGGACUGAUUAACCUGGAAAAGGAAAUUUCAAGGCAGUCAAAUGUUGAGGCUGUGGCAUGACUACUUCUGGGGCUUUUAGCCAGCUUUAUGUUGCAAACCAAGAGCAAAGAGCCCAGCAGGACAAUUUACAAUGCUGUGAGUUUGGCUAGAAGGAAAACUCCAGUAAAGCUGUAGAUUGUAAGGCUCAAACUGAGAUUUUGAUUGCUGACAAGAAACAGAGUGAUAAGAAAGAUGGUACCAGGGCAUCCUAGAAAGCAGCAGGUCUCCACACUUUGCAGCCUCAAAACUGCAAAAGUGAAAGAAUUUGCCCAGAGGUUGAAGCUGCAGAGCACCAUGCUCCAGAAUGGCAAUGGAGGCCACAUGAGUUUCCAGAAUGGUGGUAACAUAGAGAAGAUUUUCUUCACAAUCAGGUUCACAGAGCCCAGCAAUCCAGGCAACCAACUCCUUACAGCCAAGAGAGAGAAAAUCCUGGAUACUGCUCCAGCUGGCAGCAAACCUUGGUGGCAUCCACAUGGUGCUGAUUUUAGGUGUAAGGAAAAUGUACAAAGUCUGAGGGUAAGAUAGCUUCCACCUUGAUUGCAGAGGGCCUGGGUGGCCAAGCAGUGUGCCUCUGAGAGGGCAAUUUGUAAAGAUGUAAAAGUGAAGCCAAGAGUGCAGUGAAGACCCUGUAAGUUUGGAAAAGCCAGGAAUAUGGGGCAUCUGAGGAAAGCUGCAAAAAGUAAGCAGAGAGGGUCUAAGAGAGAAGCUGCAGGAGCUGAUAUCCCUGGAAAUAUUGUGGGGGUGUAGUCAUCCAAGCCUUUUGGAACUUGCAAUCAGAUUGCUUCAAAUACUAAGCAUGGAACUCUAAGACUUAGUGUUUUUCCUGCUGGAUGUUGGGCUUGCUUUGUUUCCAAUGCUUUAUAUUCCUAUUUGUAACUUUUGGAAUAGUAAUUUUUAUCCUGUACCUUUGCAUUUCAGAAAUGUUUAAACUUGUUUCAUUUGUACAGCGGGUUACAGGUAACAGUUUGCCAUAGAUCUUGGAGGAAACUUGGGAUUUGGACUUUUUAGGAAUGCCGGAACUAUUAGGACACUGGCAACUCUUGGAGGUGGACUAAAUGUCUUUUGUAUAAAGGAUGUACAUGAGUCCUGGGGGCCAGGGGUGGAAUGUCAUGGUUUAUGUCAGUGGCCCCCAGGCCUCAUGUGUUUGCAUUCUGCAUUUGUGAUUGGUUCAUUGUCUAGCACUUGGGUUGGGAGUUUGAGUGCUCACUGGCCUAGGGGUGGAGUCAGGCUGUGAUGUAAUGGCAGGAAGAAGGUGUGUGUCUCUCUUGCUGGUCUCCUUCUUGCUGUUUUUGCAGCUGCAAUGAACUGCAGCCCUGCCAUGCCAGCCUGCCUUGGAGCCAACUGAGUGUGGACUGAAACCUCCAAAAACUGUUCUUUUCCCAACUUUGGUCGUCAGGUAUUCUGUCUCAGCAAUGAGGAAAAAGUAACUAAGAUACUGGAAUGGGAGAGCCCCCUCCUGGUGUAAGUGGCACUUAGCAACAGGUUUGUAGCCUGGAUGUGACAUAAAAGAACAGAAAGAAGGCAGGAUGCUGCUGCUGCCGCUGCUGUGCUGUCUCCUGCUUGCUUGCCCUGGACUGUCUCCCUUCCCCAAUGCACCUCUGCCCCCCCACCGUGGACUAUCUCUCCUGUUAUGCACCCCCUGCCCUACUGUGGAUGAUUUCUCCUCUGCAGUGUCCCUCUGCCACACCACCUUACCUUGAAAGCAGCAGACUGUGGACUGAAAACUCCACAAACUGUGAACCAAAUCAACUUUUCCUCCUUUAAGGAUGGGUGUCAGGUAUUUUGUUUUGACGUUGAGAAAAGUAACUAAGACAGGGUAAUUAUAGGGUUAGGUGGAUAUAAAGUCAUUUUAAGGUAUGAUGGAACCCAGUCCAGUAAGACUAUGGUCAUUAUCUUUCCUGCUUGUCCGUUUAGGAUUAAAGACUCAUGUAUGGGUGACUCUAGAGGAUGUCACAUAUCACAGAAAACCCACUGCACUGCGGGCCCUUAGAGAAGAAGCUGAAAAUGAAUGUCCAGCCAUCUUGGUGCCCAAGGUGACCGAAAUGACAGUUCACCAUGCUGAUAAAUGUCUGAGGCUCACACCCACAACUGUGAGCAUUUAUUAUAAUUGUGGAGACCAAGGGGAACUCACAUAAUAUCAUGAUCUCUCAAUAAUGUAGUAUUAAAAUAUUUAUACAAAUUUUUCUUUUCUUGACAUAUAUAUUUUGUACACAUAUAUGUACACGUAUAUGCAAUUUGUGUGUAUACGUAUGUACACGCAUGUGUAUGAGCUACGUACAGUGUGUGUAUACACAGACAUGGAACUACUGGAUCAUGCGGUGUUUCUGUUAACUUUCUGAGGAAUUUCCGUGUUUCUCUCCACAGAGACCACAUUGCCCUAUGUUUGCAAAACUUUUGUGAGUUAGGCUUGGUGGAAACUGAGAAUGGGCUUUUGAGGACGGUUUGCUUUGCUUGUUUUUAACUUUAAUAGGAAACCGAGUAUCACUGGCAUUUGGGAAACGCUUCUUUCAGCUCAUUCUCUUAUCUGCAUUUCUUAAUAUCAGCUUCUUCAAAAGCAACGAAUUCUUAAACCUUUCAGAUCAAAAACACUUUUGUCUUCCAUGUCCCGUGGUCUGCUCUGCCGUUUCCCAUGUGGCUGACGGGAAACCGUGUCUGGGUUCUGAGACUGGUUGGUGUUUCUGUGGCCUGGGUUUCCUCACAGACAUGGAAGACCUCAAGCUUUGGGCUGAGCCACUGUCACUGUGAUUCUCUUUCCUCGCUUGCUGCAGCACUAGAAGCAACUGCACCUCCCCGAGGAAGGUGGGAUCCUGGGUCUCCCUGAAACAUUCCUUCUGGACCCCCAACACAGGAAGUCUGGGUCUCAGAGUCCUUUGCAGCCAUAAUCCUGGUUUGGGGGCUGAUUUCCUACAAGUGGAAACAGUCCUCCUGGGCAAAGUGGGUGUCCUGUGGACCUCAAAUGAGGCUUGAGAUGUGAAAAUCCAGUUCAGCACUAAUUGUUUUAGAAAUGGCAUUUCGAGUGGAUCAGUUUAGGGCUGGCUUGUUUAUCAAAGACCACUGGCCCAUGAAAUUCACCAUCCAACUGAAAUUACUUAAAUUACUUUCUUUCAAAAUAGUGAGACAUUAGAAGGUGGUUAUUUAAUUACAAAGUACCUAUGGGAGAGACAGAUAAACCUAAUGGACCAUUUUAUUUCGUGGGCAAUCCUGCUUGGGAAGUGACUUUUUUGUGGAGAUGAUAAAUCCAUCAAGUUGUACCUUCCUAGCUCAGGGUUAAUGCUCCACUAGAUGUAAUUCCUGGUCCUCUGUUCCCCUCCCUCCCUUUCUUUCUCCCUCCCUUUCUUCUUCCUCUCUCCCUUCAGUGGGCGAUGCUACUCUACAAAGUAUAAAGACCAAACCUUGCAAACCCAUGGUCACAGGAUUAUGAAAUUCAUCACUUUGGCUUCAAACCUUUGCAAGAGACAGCAAAUCCAAUCACACACAUGUAAUAACAAUUAGAGUGACACAUUAUGUAGCUGAAGUAUGCAGGGAGGAGCAGGCUGCAUGUCCAGCCACCUGCAAGGCUGAUCAGCAAGUAGUUUAUCUGUGCCUUUGACCCUUGGUUUCCACCAUGUGUGUCCCAUGGUCAGCCAGGCUCUCCUACCACAGUGCCAGCCCCAGCCCUCCUGGCUCACAGACGUUUUCUGAGGAGCUCUCAUCCAACCCUGAGUGCAGUCUGGCUGUACUUGUGUCGGGGUGCAGGGCCCGGCCAGAGCCCUGUGGCUCUGUCCCCCUUAGGCACUGAGUUGCUGGGUGCUGUUGCUGAAGAGACACAGCACACUGUUGUCAGGUGGCUGGGCAGGUCUCAUGUCUAGCUGGCUCCCACUCUGGGUGGACAUUGAGGCACAGAGUUAGGCUUGUGCAGAAAGCAGGUAAUAACAGGAGACAGAGGCAACAGUUUCAGCUCAGGGCUGCUGUAACACGCGAUAGCUGUAGUCAUUCCACAGUUUUAGAAUUAUGCCACUUGGGAAAUAAAAAGGGAAAAUCCUUGCUUACCAUGUUGGCGGUGCCUUCACUGAGGUCCUCCAUCCCAGUGUCUCUGGAAAUCUGUGCCAUGUGUGCAUCCUGUAGCGACCACGGCUGUUGGACGCGGGAGGGUGACUCACAGUUCAGUCUCUUCCUCGGUUUCCACAGAGUGUUCCUCAGGGAAAAUUUGCAAAUGUGGGGUGCAGUGGCACUGUGGGGAGCCACAGGGAGGGAGGCUCCUCAAAGAUUUAAAAAUACAACCACCACAUGGUGCAGCAAACCCACUUCUGCAUCUCUCCAGAGGGAUGGAAAUCAGUCUGUUAAAGAGAUGAUGCCGUGUUCACCGCAGCCAUGAUCACAAUCGAAACAACGUUAACGUCUGUCAGAGGAUUCAGGGAUAAAGCUACGGGGCUACACCCACUGUGGAAUAUUAUUCAGCCCUGACAUAGCAAGAAAGCAGGUGUUUGCAACAGCACGAUGAACCUGGAGGACGAUAUGCUAAAUGAAAUAGCCAGGCAUAGAUAAAAGCAGAGUGCAGGACUGGUCACACACAUGAGAUGGAAGACAGUGAAAUCUUAGAAGCAGAGAGUGAGGCCUGGUCUCUGGCUGUGGGGUGAGGGGAGGAGGGGCUGGUCACAGGGGAUGCUCACAGGGUUGUUUAUGAUAACUGCAUGCAUUGAUUUGAACAGUGCACAAACUGUGAAACCAGGCUCAUCUUUGAACACCUCAAACCCAAGUCUUUGACUCAAAGCCUCGUUUUGUCACUGAAACAUCUUCCCCCACGUGAGGGUGAGUUGUGCUUGUGCUCUGUGUUAGACUCUAGAGUUGCUUCCAGGAAUAUAGCACUGUCUCUCUGCCUUCAACACUCUCUGUUUAGUGGGAGAGAGUCGUGUAAACCAGCAUUUCAUGAAGAUGGUUGGGAGGGAAGACUGGGGAAGACUGAAAUGCCUAGACACCACAUAUCCAAGCAAGACGGGAGAGACCUCUGUGUGGGCAUUUUAGGGCAGAUUAGAUGACUUGAGUCCAUGGGGCAUAUUCAUAGGAGGGGUGAAGAUACUGGGCAUUUUCGGGGUGAUGGAGAGUCACCAGGAGAUUUACACAGAGCUGUGGUCCAAGUAGUUUGCUGUUAGGAAUGGGGGCUGUCAGAUAGUGGUUUGGUGAUAACCCUCAGUGGGUCGCUGCAGUUAGGUGGUAUGGAAACCUCCUGCUGGAUUCACAGGGAGCCCACAGAAUCCGAGACUGCUCUGCAGGGAAAGGGGAAGAGCGUUAUGACAGAGUCCUAUGAGUCCUCAUAGGACUUAUCCCAGUGGAUGGAGCAGUCUGCAGGUAGGGCUGGCUCAUUAGGGUGAGAAGACCUUAGCAGUGGGAACUUCUGCAUCUCAGGCUGGGACAGAAGAGGAGGGGCAGUCAGAGAAGGAGAGGAACCAAGUGAGUGCUUUUCGGAUCAUUUUAGGGUGCUGGUGGUUUAGAUUUUUUAAGGCAGCCUCAUUAAACAUAUCUGAUAUGAAAAGCAGUGCACGUAUUUAAUGUGUGCGGUGGUGAGUUUGGAGCCACGCAAGCACCUCUGUCAUCACUACAAUGAGGACAGCAGACAUUACCACCACACCUUCCCAACCCCUGAGUGUCUAAGUGAGUGUAGGAAGGACUCUGGGCACCUGACCACUUUCUUGAAAGGUUGGAGGUGCAUGAUGCCAUUUUGUUAACUGGAGACACCAUGCUGCCAAGUGCAUCUCUAGAAAUUUUUGUCCUAACAUAGCUGAAACUUUCAGUUUGAAAGUUUUACUUCUAAAAUAAUUUUAAAUUGACAAAAGAAAGGAGAUCAGCCCUUUCCUGUAUUCCCACCUUCCCCAUCUAAUUUCUUCUCUUACUAGCAUUGCAAAUUAAUGUGGAACAUUUAUUAUGAUUAAGGAACCAGCAGGGACACGAUGAGUAUCAGCUAAAGUGCAUAAUUCAUUCAGAGCUCUUAGGUUUACCUGAUUCCUGGCAACCCAGGCCACAAACCACAUUACAUGUAUUUGUUAUGUCUAAUUAAUACAGUUUUUAAUUCCCAACUGAGACUAGGGUUAUAUUAAGGUAUCAUCAAAUUUUAUAUUAUCUGUUAAAUAAUAGUAACAUUACUUUUUAAAAAUCCCAAGUCUCAAUGGGCUGGCACUACAUAGUUAUCUUCCCUCCUUUCCAGCCAGCAGUGCCAGGACUUGAUUGUUUUCUGGAGCCUGUGAGUCUUUGUCAUUCAAAGCUAAGAAGGCAAAUCCACUCCCAGAGCACAUUUUGGGAAAGGAGCCCUCUCUUCCCGUAUAAGCCAUGGAUAAGAACCAGGCACAGGCGGAGCCUGGGUGACAGCAAGGCUGGGGACCCUACCCUAGUCCUGGAGGGAGGGGCUCAGGAUGGGGGACUCUGAGUGGCAGGUGGGGGAGGCAGAGGAUCACAGGACCGGCAAUGAUUUUACCCAGGGGAAAGGGUGAAAGAAAUCUGGGCAGAAGUCGCCCGUGGAAAUCUUAUACACCAGCCUGUAAGCCAGGGUGGUACAUUGUGGCCCUGUGAGGGGUUGGGACAUGGGCUUGGGCAGGGUGAGAGAGUUAGACAGCGCUGUUGUUGCCUGUGUCAGUUUUGUUUCCUUAGGGUUUGCAACUUACCCCCAGACAAUCAGGAGCCAUGAGAGGGCUUUAGUGUAGGAGCAGUGCUGUGAGUUUUCUGUUUAAGCCAUACAUGGAUCAACACAUAAAGACCUUCAGUGAUAAGAGUGAGUACUGGAGACCCAACAGACAACCUUAUGACUGUCUUUAUCAGUAUCACCUUCUGUAUCUGAUUGUGAGGGAGGGUCUCAAGUGUUCUCACCACUAGAAAAGAUGGAGGGAUGGAUGGCUAUGCUGAUUGGCGUGGUUGUGGUAACCAUGCCACAAUGCGUACUUAAAAGCUCCAUGUGAGCAGGGCGUGGUAGAGUGCCACAGUAAUUCCAGCCACUUGGAAGGCUGAUGCAGGAGGAUUGUGAGAGAGCCGCACAUACAGGAUAGGAAAUAGAGGUGAGCUAAGGUAAUACUAAGCCAAAAUUAGGUGCUCCAGGCAUGCAGGGAGGAGGGGAGGCCUAGGGGAGGUCAGGGGUGAAGGUUCCCUUUCUGCACUGAAGACCUGCAGGUCCUUUUCUCCCUCUUCUAAAACCCUCCUCCCCAUGCUCCUAGGGGUCAUAGGAUCAGGGUGGAGUAGCUCAACCUUUCAUCACUGUGAUACAUGGAGGCUCAGCCUUUCACCACGGGCAAUGCACUGCUGUUAUUUUGCACGGCAAAGAAAGAAGGGAUGAGGCCAGUUGUAUCUGAAGACACCACUGAGAAGAGAACGCAAACAUUUGCAGUAAUAUUAAAAUGUAAAAGAAAGUUCAUUAGGUAACUUCUCAUGAUAGAGGACAGGAAAUCCACUGGUUUCCGUAUACCCACCCGAUGCUUCUCUUUAGCCAGUGUGUGAGCUCUUUGGGGGGGUAGGGCCAGGGUCCGUGUUUCAUCUGGAUGCCCAGUAUUAGUUCAUGAGUUUAGCAGUUGGUGCAGGGAUUAAAUGAGCUAUAAGCUGAUAAUCCAGCUAGGGAGAUCUGGCAUAUCAUGAGAGCAUUUUACAUUUGAUAUGAAAAACCUCGAUAUUCUGGAAGGAAACUGGAAACAACAUCACUCCCAACUUCACAUUUUAUAAUGUUCUUGAGACAGUUUUAAGAGUUUUAGAAGAAUUUCAGUGUUCUCAUGUGUCCUGUAAUGAAUAUCCCCAUGAUAACAUUUUACAAAAUCAUAGAAUAAUAAUGGAAAGAAAUUAACCUUGGUGCAUUUGUGAAACUGAAUGACAUAACUUACUGAAUUCACUGGCCCCAAGGUUCGAUAUGCACAAUAUUUCGGGCCCAAGUCUCCUGUAAUUUAUCAGAGCUCCUCUAUUCCCACUGGCAGAGGUACUUAGUGCUAAGUGUUCCCUAGAUUUUGCAAUUUCUGGGGUAUAAACUGGAUGGAGUCCUGAGUUCAAGCUGUUAACUAUUCCACUUUCUUCGUCUAAUCUAACUCUGCAUCAAAAGGUUUAUUUCUCCGGGCUCUGUUUCGAAACUGUUUUGUAAUUGUCGGUUUUUGUUUUUAAAAACUGAUGAGUGUUCCCUUUGGUGCUGCCUUGGGAUAGAGCGAGUGACUGCUGUUGUUCAUCUGCAGCAUUUCACAGACGGAGUCGGUGAAUUUUAAAAUGCUCAUGGGAGCAAUGCAAUCUGAUACACAUAAUGUUAUAAUGUGGUACAAAAUUAACUCUUUGGUUCUAGUAAAUUAAAGUCAAAUUUCUGUGUAGGCCCUUGAAAUAUUCUCUGGCUUUGACCCCUUCUAGUCACUUAAAAAAAAGUAUUAGUGCUGACCAAUGUGUCCUUAUUCAUAUCAUUUAAUAUAUUCAGAUGAAAAUUAUGGAUUUUGUUGAAUCAGAGAAAGAGUAAAAAGCAAGCAAGAAAGUAAAGACCUAUCAGGUACUUUUUGUUUGUUUGUUUGGUAUGACUUCCUUUGCCACUUAAUGUUUAAGAUUAAACAAACAAACAAAACCCUCAAUGUAACCAUGCAACACACCCUUAGAGCGGAGGCCAAUGGUAACAACAUAUUUGUAAGUUAAAAUUUCCCUCUUAAAGACACCUGUAUCGAGUCAAUAUUGAUGAUUGACCCUCAGAUUUUAGUUCCAUAGCACCAUGGUCAAUGACACCUGUGGUGAAUAUCCAUUACUUGACUUUUCCUACCAAAUCUGCAUGGUAGGAAUAACAGAGAGCGCCUUGUACUUAGCAUAGACAUCUAAUAGAGGAAUCUCCCACACUGACAACUCCAAUGAGUGAAACGCACCCGAGUUGUCUCUGCAUUUUGUCUUUAGUGCUGUGCUGAGCACAUGAGCAGUCACUCCCUGCAGCAGGAGUGACUCAGUCUUUCUACAGGAUGGACAAGAGUGCGGGAUGUGCAAGUUACACACCAAAGCAACUCAUCUGAAGUAGUAUUGUGUCCCUCCUACUUACAAAAUUGAAGUUAAAUUAUGUUUUGGGAAAUAUUCUCACUUGCCUGAUUUAUCUCACACUUCAGAAUUUAUGUAUUUUCAUAACAGGGACAGAGGGAAGGAGGGGGAGAGAAGGUAGGGUGAAGUGUGGGGUGACACAUCCGCCUUCAGGAUGUGGGGACCAGAGACGGAACCCUUGAAAGGCUGACGGGUUGGAUAUUUGUCUGCACUCCCAUUACUGGGGUUGGUAAAAUGCAGGGUAACCAUAUGGGUGUUUGACAACAUGUGCAUUUCUCACAUAUGUAGUUCAGUGUCUGGAGGAGGCAGCCUUCAUUCUUUAUCACUAGGGAUUUUUAGAAGUAAUAAGAAAUAUUUCAGGGAGUCAAGUGGCCUCACACAAAUUGUGGUGGUGGGUCUCAUUCUACCCCACAUUCGUCCACAGAUUGUGACUCCAACCUCUACAUGGAUUUUAAAUGUUCACCCUCGGCUGUGUGCUUGUGUUAUGCAAUCCAUGUGCUAAAACAAUGGUUUGCUCUUAGAAAUCUAGUGUCUUAGACAUCCAGAUGGGUCUCUUGCUGCAGAUUGCUAGCUGCUUCUAAUUCCUUUCCCCUGGAAAUCUGCUCUUGGAAAUAGAUUUUUCAUAUCUCAGAAUAAUUUCAUAUGUAAACCAACCCCAAAGUGUCAUCUGCUCUGUUAGGGAGAGGACCCUUCCAAAUGCCUCUUCCCCUGGUCUCAAGCAGUGAGGGAAAACUUGGUGCCAUGAUGCGGGUUGGUGAUUGUUACUGGUUCCCAAGGCCUCUGUGGGUCCAAACAGCAGGGAUCUCAGCACAUCGGAUUUGUGUGCAGGCCCAGAGGGGCACCCUUGUCCCCUGACUCCUCCCUUCAGAGAUUAUGAAAUGUUUCCUUGGUUCUCUUUAAUCUUGCGGAGGGUUUCUUUUUAAGUGUAUCUAGGUGUGUCAGGGACCAGACUACAUGAGGGUUAAAUUGUUGACCAUGAAGGGAUAUGUGGCUGUGUUGAAAAAUCACAGUGCUCAGAAGUCAAGAUGACACCAGAGCUGAGGCAGCGGAGGAUACAGGCUGCUGACACACCACCCCCACAUCCCAGAACAUAAAAUCGUCAAUCUUGGAGAUAAUCAGUUUUCCUAAUUACCAAAAUUUACUGCUUUGUUUCUCAAGGACCUGCUCAUUUUUCUGGGUUCUAUUCUCUAAUUUCCUUCCUCUUCUUGCACCCUGAAGUCUGUGAAAACCCAAUAAAUAUGGUGAUUCAGAA
Cavia porcellus (domestic guinea pig) is the source of this 12653-nucleotide long non-coding RNA. RefSeq lists it as uncharacterized. The record is from RefSeq and is a predicted model, not a curated record. The transcript has 7 exons. Lineage: Eukaryota; Metazoa; Chordata; Mammalia; Rodentia; Caviidae.